UAGGCAUAGCAUGAUUGUAUCUCAUUCUUAAUAUGUUCAACAUAUUUCUUCCUUGUCGCCUCAUCUUGCCUCAAUGACUUAAAAUUGGAAAGAACGCGGACAACUGGAACAACAAAAGCAACAUCUCAAAAUACAGUUCAAAUUUGUUCCCAAGAACAAUAAUAAUAGCCAUUUAAAAAAACGUUAACUUACUCUCUAAUCCUCCUUUUAAGAUUGGAAAGAUCGGGGGACGCAAGAUGGAGUGAUCAUAUCUCUGUUUCUCUUGCUGCUACAAGUACUUCGACUACUCGUUGAGACACAANNN
Molecule: long non-coding RNA, 304 nt
Filed under: Lathyrus oleraceus (garden pea)
Lineage: Eukaryota; Viridiplantae; Streptophyta; Magnoliopsida; Fabales; Fabaceae
Description: Pisum sativum (pea) long non-coding RNA (PSAT_LNC029688)
Source: RNAcentral